This 485-nucleotide ribosomal RNA is filed under the name uncultured bacterium. Its description in RNAcentral is "bacterial SSU rRNA". It matches the Rfam family "Bacterial small subunit ribosomal RNA", at positions 38 to 518 of the family's 1533-position model. The record is from RNAcentral.
GGCGGCGCGCCUAACACAUGCAAGUCGAACGGAACUCUAUUCUGGAAAUUUUCGGAUGGAAGGGACAGAGUUUAGUGGCGGACGGGUGAGUAACACGUGAGCAACCUGCCUAUCAGAGGGGAUAACGAUUUGGAAACGAUCGCUAAUACCGCAUAACACAGCGAGAGGACAUCCUUUUUGCUGUCAAAGAUUUAUCGCUGAUAGAUGGGCUCGCGGCCGAUUAGAUAGUUUGGUGAGGUAAAUGGCUCACCAAGUCGACGAUCGGUAGCCGGACUGAGAGGUCGAACGGCCACAUUGGGACUGAGACACGGCCCAGACUCCUACGGGAGGCAGCAGUGGGGGAUAUUGCACAAAAUGGGGGAAACCCUGAUGCAGCGACGCCGCGUGUAGGAAGACGGUCCUAUGGAUUGUAAACUACUGUCUUCGGGGACGAAAAAGACGGUACCCGAGGAGGAAGCCACGGCUAACUACGUGCCAGCCGCCGC